Molecule: ribosomal RNA, 253 nt
Filed under: uncultured bacterium
Lineage: Bacteria
Also listed under: 1 other name
Description: partial 16S ribosomal RNA
Rfam family: Bacterial small subunit ribosomal RNA
Source: RNAcentral
AACGUAGGGAACAAGCGUUAUCCGGAUUUACUGGGCGUAAAGCGCAUGUAGGUGGCAUGGAAAGUUGGACGUGAAAACUCCUGGCUUAACUGGGAGAGGUCGUACAAAACUACCAAGCUAGAGGAUGGAAGAGGAGAGUGGAAUUCCCGGUGUAGUGGUGGAAUGCGUAGAUAUCGGGAGGAACACCAGUGGUGAAAACGGCUCUCUGGUCCGUACCUGACACUGAGAUGCGAAAGCGUGGGGAGCGAACGGG